AUUUAUAUAGUUUAAUAAAACAUUACAUUUUCACUGUAAAAAUAAAUAUUUUUAUUUUAUAAAUA
Molecule: transfer RNA, 65 nt
Filed under: Abraxas suspecta
Lineage: Eukaryota; Metazoa; Arthropoda; Insecta; Lepidoptera; Geometridae
Description: tRNA-Glu
Source: RNAcentral